RNAcentral lists this ribosomal RNA (334 nucleotides) under Salmonella enterica. RNAcentral's name for it is "partial 23S ribosomal RNA". It matches the Rfam family "Bacterial large subunit ribosomal RNA", at positions 187 to 559 of the family's 2925-position model. Lineage: Bacteria; Pseudomonadati; Pseudomonadota; Gammaproteobacteria; Enterobacterales; Enterobacteriaceae. RNAcentral also lists the same sequence under 2 other names. The record is from RNAcentral.
GGGGAACUGAAACAUCUAAGUACCCCGAGGAAAAGAAAUCAACCGAGAUUCCCCCAGUAGCGGCGAGCGAACGGGGAGGAGCCCAGAGCCUGAAUCAGCAUGUGUGUUAGUGGAAGCGUCUGGAAAGGCGCGCGAUACAGGGUGACAGCCCCGUACACAAAAGCGCAUGUGCUGUGAGCUCGAUGAGUAGGGCGGGACACGUGGUAUCCUGUCUGAAUAUGGGGGGACCAUCCUCCAAGGCUAAAUACUCCUGACUGACCGAUAGUGAACCAGUACCGUGAGGGAAAGGCGAAAAGAACCCCGGCGAGGGGAGUGAAAAAGAACCUGAAACCGU